UGGACGCUGGCGGCGUGCUUACCACAUGCACGUCUAACGAUGAAGCCCAGCUUGCUGGGUGGAUUAGUGGCGAACGGGUGUGUAACACGUGAGUAACCUGCCCUUGACUCUGGUAUAAGCCUGUGUAACUGGGUCUAAUACUGGAUAUGACUUCUCUUCUCAUGUUGGGGGGUGGAUAGUUUUGUUGGUCUUUGAUGGACUCGCGGCCUAUCAGCUUGUUGGUGAGGUAAUGGCUCACGAAGGCUACGACGGGUAGCCGGCCUGAGAGGGUGACCGGCGACAAUGGGAAUGAGAGACGGCACAGAAUCCAACGGGAGGCAGCAGUGGGGAAUAUUGCACAAUGGGCGGAAGCCUGAUGCAGCGACGCAGCGUGAGGGAUGACGGCCUUCGGGUUGUAAAACAAUUUCAGUAGGGAAGAAGCGAGAGUGACGGUAACUGAAGAAGAAGCGCCGGCUAACUACGUG
Molecule: ribosomal RNA, 464 nt
Filed under: uncultured bacterium
Lineage: Bacteria
Description: partial 16S ribosomal RNA
Rfam family: Bacterial small subunit ribosomal RNA
Source: RNAcentral